UACGUAGGGUCCGAGCGUUGUCCGGAAUUAUUGGGCGUAAAGAGCUCGUAGGCGGUUUGUCGCGUCUGCUGUGAAAACCUAAGGCUCAACCUUGGGCUUGCAGUGGGUACGGGCAGACUAGAGUGCGGUAGGGGUGACUGGAAUUCCUGGUGUAGCGGUGAAAUGCGCAGAUAUCAGGAGGAACACCGGUGGCGAAGGCGGUUCUCUGGGCCUGUACUGACGCUGAGGAACGAAAGCGUGGGGAGCGAACAGG
Molecule: ribosomal RNA, 253 nt
Filed under: uncultured bacterium
Lineage: Bacteria
Description: partial 16S ribosomal RNA
Rfam family: Bacterial small subunit ribosomal RNA
Source: RNAcentral